GUCUAUAGCCAUUCCACCUUGAAUGUACUUGAUCUCCCCAAUCUCAGAAGCAAAGCAGGAUUGAGUCUGGUUGGUACUUGGAUGGGAGAAGUAUAAUGUGAGACAAAUGAGUAAUUUUGAAUCUUCAAACA
Molecule: ribosomal RNA, 131 nt
Filed under: Urocitellus parryii (Arctic ground squirrel)
Lineage: Eukaryota; Metazoa; Chordata; Mammalia; Rodentia; Sciuridae
Source: RNAcentral